RNAcentral lists this ribosomal RNA (439 nucleotides) under uncultured bacterium. Its description in RNAcentral is "partial 16S ribosomal RNA". It matches the Rfam family "Bacterial small subunit ribosomal RNA", at positions 339 to 795 of the family's 1533-position model. The record is from RNAcentral.
CUACGGGGUGCUCCAGUGGGGAAUAUUGGGCAAUGGGCGAAAGCCUGACCCAGCAACGCCGCGUGAAGGAAGAAGGCUUUCGGGUCGUAAACUUCUAUCCUAGGUGAAGAUAAUGACGGUAGCCUAGAAGGAAGCCCCGGCUAACUACGUGCCAGCAGCCGCGGUAAUACGUAGGGGGCAAGCGUUGUCCGGAAUGAUUGGGCGUAAAGGGCGCGUAGGCGGCCAUGUAAGUCCGAUGUGAAAGUCCUGCUUUUAAGGUGGGAAUUGCAUUGGAAACUGCGUGGCUUGAGUGCAGGAGAGGUAAGCGGAAUUCCCGGUGUAGCGGUGAAAUGCGUAGAGAUCGGGAGGAACACCAGUGGCGAAGGCGGCUUACUGGACUGUAACUGACGCUGAGGCGCGAAAGUGUGGGGAGCAAACAGGAUUAGAUACCCUGGUAGUC